This is a long non-coding RNA of Oncorhynchus tshawytscha (Chinook salmon), 671 nucleotides long. The record is from Ensembl. Lineage: Eukaryota; Metazoa; Chordata; Actinopteri; Salmoniformes; Salmonidae.
CAUGCUUUCACCAUGCGCGUUCACAGGGAAAGACCUGUGUUCCACUGGUUAUCUGAAGUCAUUCUAAUACUCCGGUUGGAACGUUAUUCAAGAUAUAUGUAAAUAACAUUCUAAAGAUUGAUUCAGUACAUCGUUUGACAUGUUUCUACUGACUGUUACGGAACUUUUGGACAUUUCGUCACGUUAUAGUGGACGUGCUUUGUGACUUUGGAAUUGUUUACCAAAUGCGCUAACCAAAGUAGCUAAUUGGACAUAAAUAGCGGACAUUUUCGAACAAAUCAAGCAUUUAUUGUGCACCUGGGAUUCCUAGGACUGCAUUCUGAUGAAGUUCAUCAAAGAAUUGACAGAAUGGUUGUGGCCGGGACGUGUGCUGAUCGACCAGCAGGAGUGGACAGUGGUGGAAAUGGUGAGGGCCAGGAAUAACAUACGGCUGUCCAUAAUGAAGCAGGGCAUUGAGGAGAACGAUGACACCUUUGCCAGUGUGGCAUUCAACAGCCUACCAACAAUCGCCCACCUUUUGAAGAGGCACCAGAGGGUGAUGGUGCAUGAUGCUGCUGUGCACCAACAAGAGUAUCUUUGUUGAUGAAGCGGGCUUCAACCUGGCCAAAACUCGGCGCCGUGGGCGGAACCUCAUCGGUCAACGGUUGACCGUCCAAGUGCCUGGACAACGU